GUGUUGUAUAAAAGGAAAUAAAUUUAACAUGUCCCUUAAUAAGGAUGGAAGAAGUCCUCAGGCCUGACAACAGGUACAUGAUUAAGGCAUUGCCACUUACUUUCUGGCAUUCAACCAUUAUUUUUU
Small nuclear RNA from Fukomys damarensis (Damara mole-rat), 126 nucleotides. The record is from Ensembl. NCBI's taxonomy places the organism in Eukaryota, Metazoa, Chordata, Mammalia, Rodentia, Bathyergidae.